AUCCCAUCGAAAGGCGUUGGUUGCUAUANACAGCANGACGGUGGCCAUGGAAGUCGGAAUCCGCUAAGGAGUGUGUAACAACUCACCUGCCGAAGCAACUAGCCCUUAAAAUGGUAUGGCGCUGAAGCAUUCUCCCGAUACUCGACCGCCGGGGCGGUAGCGACCACGUCCCAGAGACGUGGUCACGAAUCCCCCCGGUGAGUAAGAGGGUCGCAGUGGUGAGCGCUGAAGGGAUCCGGCGUGAGCCGGCCUGGAGCCACCACUGGCGCAGAUCUUGGUGGUAGUAGCAAAUACUCGAGAGAGACUCCCUUGAAGACCGAUGUGGAGAAGGGUUCCAUGUGAACAUCAGUUGGACAUGGGUUAGUCGCUCCUAAGCCCAAGGCUAAGGCCUGAUCCCAUGCUAGCGGC
This 408-nucleotide ribosomal RNA is filed under the name Euastacus neohirsutus. RNAcentral describes it as "eukaryotic LSU rRNA". It matches the Rfam family "Eukaryotic large subunit ribosomal RNA", at positions 1209 to 1582 of the family's 3401-position model. Lineage: Eukaryota; Metazoa; Arthropoda; Malacostraca; Decapoda; Parastacidae. The record is from RNAcentral.